CUUGUUUUGUCACUGUUUCUUUUGACAUGCCCACUGCCUGAUGAUAUCAGCAGAAGUGGUGGCCUGAUCCAAUCACAGUGCUUCUCCAGUGCUUGGCUGAGACUGACAAGUAGGCAGAUCAGGGGCAGAGCCAGCACAAUUCAAACACAGCACUGGCCAAUCAGCAUCUCCUCAUAGAGAUACAUUAAAUAAAUGAAUCUCUAUGAGGAAAGUUCAGUGUCUGCAUGCAGAGGGAGGAGACUAUGAAUGUUUGGAUGCAUUUUAGGCAGCCAUGACCCAGGAAGAAUAUCUAACAGCCACAUGGGGAGUGGCCAAUGAAGUUAUCACUAGGCUGUAAUGUAAAUACUGCAUUUUCUCUGAAAAGACAGUGUUUACAGUAAAAAGCCUGAAGGUAUUGACUCUACUCACCAGAACAAAUUCAAUAAGCCGUAGUUGUUCUGGUGACUAUAGUGUCCCUUUAAGCCC
Molecule: non-coding RNA, 465 nt
Organism: Pelobates cultripes (western spadefoot toad)
Lineage: Eukaryota; Metazoa; Chordata; Amphibia; Anura; Pelobatidae
Source: the annotation of a GenBank genome assembly